AGUGAACGCUGGCGGUAGGCCUAACACAUGCAAGUCGAACGGCAGCACAGUAAGAGCUUGCUCUUACGGGUGGCGAGUGGCGGACGGGUGAGGAAUACAUCGGAAUCUACUUUUUCGUGGGGGAUAACGUAGGGAAACUUACGCUAAUACCGCAUACGACCUACGGGUGAAAGCAGGAGAUCUUCGGACCUUGCGCGAUUGAAUGAGCCGCGGUCGGAUUAGCUAGUUGGCGGGGUAAAGGCCCACCAAGGCGACGAUCCGUAGCUGGUCUGAGAGGAUGAUCGGCCACACUGGAACUGAGACACGGUCCAGACUCCUACGGGAGGCAGCAGUGGGGAAUAUUGGACAAUGGGCGCAAGCCUGAUCCAGCCAUACCGCGUGGGUGAAGAAGGCCUUCGGGUUGUAAAGCCCUUUUGUUGGGAAAGAAAAGCAGCAGGUUAAUACCCCGCUGUUCUGACGGUACCCAAAGAAUAAGCACCGGCUAACUUCGUG
This 492-nucleotide ribosomal RNA is filed under the name uncultured bacterium. RNAcentral's name for it is "partial 16S ribosomal RNA". It matches the Rfam family "Bacterial small subunit ribosomal RNA", at positions 29 to 507 of the family's 1533-position model. The record is from RNAcentral.